This 1372-nucleotide ribosomal RNA is filed under the name uncultured bacterium. RNAcentral's name for it is "bacterial SSU rRNA". It matches the Rfam family "Bacterial small subunit ribosomal RNA", at positions 28 to 1381 of the family's 1533-position model. The record is from RNAcentral.
GAUAAACGCUGGCGGCGUGCCUAAUACAUGCAAGUCGAGCGAACGGACGAGAAGCUUGCUUCUCUGAUGUUAGCGGCGGACGGGUGAGUAACACGUGGAUAACCUACCUAUAAGACUGGGAUAACUUCGGGAAACCGGAGCUAAUACCGGAUAAUAUUUUGAACCGCAUGGUUCAAAAGUGAAAGACGGUCUUGCUGUCACUUAUAGAUGGAUCCGCGCUGCAUUAGCUAGUUGGUAAGGUAACGGCUUACCAAGGCAACGAUGCAUAGCCGACCUGAGAGGGUGAUCGGCCACACUGGAACUGAGACACGGUCCAGACUCCUACGGGAGGCAGCAGUAGGGAAUCUUCCGCAAUGGGCGAAAGCCUGACGGAGCAACGCCGCGUGAGUGAUGAAGGUCUUCGGAUCGUAAAACUCUGUUAUUAGGGAAGAACAUAUGUGUAAGUAACUGUGCACAUCUUGACGGUACCUAAUCAGAAAGCCACGGCUAACUACGUGCCAGCAGCCGCGGUAAUACGUAGGUGGCAAGCGUUAUCCGGAAUUAUUGGGCGUAAAGCGCGCGUAGGCGGUUUUUUAAGUCUGAUGUGAAAGCCCGCGGCUCAACCGUGGAGGGUCAUUGGAAACUGGAAAACUUGAGUGCAGAAGAGGAAAGUGGAAUUCCAUGUGUAGCGGUGAAAUGCGCAGAGAUAUGGAGGAACACCAGUGGCGAAGGCGACUUUCUGGUCUGUAACUGACGCUGAUGUGCGAAAGCGUGGGGAUCAAACAGGAUUAGAUACCCUGGUAGUCCACGCCGUAAACGAUGAGUGCUAAGUGUUAGGGGGUUUCCGCCCCUUAGUGCUGCAGCUAACGCAUUAAGCACUCCGCCUGGGGAGUACGACCGCAAGGUUGAAACUCAAAGGAAUUGACGGGGACCCGCACAAGCGGUGGAGCAUGUGGUUUAAUUCGAAGCAACGCGAAGAACCUUACCAAAUCUUGACAUCCUUUGACAACUCUAGAGAUAGAGCCUUCCCCUUCGGGGGACAAAGUGACAGGUGGUGCAUGGUUGUCGUCAGCUCGUGUCGUGAGAUGUUGGGUUAAGUCCCGCAACGAGCGCAACCCUUAAGCUUAGUUGCCAUCAUUAAGUUGGGCACUCUAAGUUGACUGCCGGUGACAAACCGGAGGAAGGUGGGGAUGACGUCAAAUCAUCAUGCCCCUUAUGAUUUGGGCUACACACGUGCUACAAUGGACAAUACAAAGGGCAGCGAAACCGCGAGGUCAAGCAAAUCCCAUAAAGUUGUUCUCAGUUCGGAUUGUAGUCUGCAACUCGACUACAUGAAGCUGGAAUCGCUAGUAAUCGUAGAUCAGCAUGCUACGGUGAAUACGUUCCCGGGUCU